RNAcentral lists this ribosomal RNA (497 nucleotides) under uncultured bacterium. RNAcentral describes it as "partial 16S ribosomal RNA". It matches the Rfam family "Bacterial small subunit ribosomal RNA", at positions 28 to 507 of the family's 1533-position model. The record is from RNAcentral.
GAUGAACGCUGGCGGCGUGCCUAAUACAUGCAAGUCGAGCGAACAGACGAGGAGCUUGCUCCUCUGACGUUAGCGGCGGACGGGUGAGUAACACGUGGAUAACCUACCUAUAAGACUGGGAUAACUUCGGGACACCGGAGCUAAUACCGGAUAAUAUAUUGAACCGCAUGGUUCAAUAGUGAAAGACGGUUUUGCUGUCACUUCUAGAUGGAUCCGCGCCGCAUUAGCUAGUUGGUAAGGUAACGGCUUACCAAGGCAACGAUGCGUAGCCGGACUGAGAGGGUGAUCGGCCACACUGGAACUGAGACACGGUCCAGACUCCUACGGGAGGCAGCAGUAGGGAAUCUUCCGCAAUGGGCGAAAGCCUGACGGAGCAACGCCGCGUGAGUGAUGAAGGUCUUCGGAUCGUAAAACUCUGUUAUUAGGGAAGAACAAAUGUGUAAGUAACUAUGCACGUCUUGACGGUACCUAAUCAGAAAGCCACGGCUAACUACGUG